Molecule: ribosomal RNA, 253 nt
Filed under: uncultured bacterium
Lineage: Bacteria
Description: partial 16S ribosomal RNA
Rfam family: Bacterial small subunit ribosomal RNA
Source: RNAcentral
UACGUAGGGAGCAAGCGUUGUCCGGAAUCAUUGGGCGUAAAGCGCGCAUAGGUGGCCUCAUAAGUCCGCUGUGAAAGUCAAAGGCUCAACCUUUGAAAGCCGGUGGAUACUGUGAGGCUAGAGUACGGAAGAGGCGAGUGGAAUUCCUGGUGUAGCGGUGGAAUGCGCAGAUAUCAGGAGGAACACCAAUAGCGAAGGCAGCUCGCUGGGACGUUACUGACACUGAGGCGCGAAAGCGUGGGGAGCGAACAGG